RNAcentral lists this ribosomal RNA (468 nucleotides) under uncultured bacterium. Its description in RNAcentral is "partial 16S ribosomal RNA". It matches the Rfam family "Bacterial small subunit ribosomal RNA", at positions 28 to 507 of the family's 1533-position model. The record is from RNAcentral.
GACGAACGCUGGCGGCGUGCUUAACACAUGCAAGUCGAACGGAAAGGCCCUGCUUUUGUGGGGUGCUCGAGUGGCGAACGGGUGAGUAACACGUGAGUAACCUGCCCUUGACUUUGGGAUAACUUCAGGAAACUGGGGCUAAUACCGGAUAGGAGCUCCUGCUGCAUGGUGGGGGGUGGAAAGUUUCGGCGGUUGGGGAUGGACUCGCGGCUUAUCAGCUUGUUGGUGGGGUAGUGGCUUACCAAGGCUUUGACGGGUAGCCGGCCUGAGAGGGUGACCGGCCACAUUGGGACUGAGAUACGGGCCAGACUCCUACGGGAGGCAGCAGUGGGGAAUAUUGCACAAUGGGCGGAAGCCUGAUGCAGCAACGCCGCGUGCGGGAUGACGGCCUUCGGGUUGUAAACCGCUUUCGCCUGUGACGAAGCGUGAGUGACGGUAAUGGGUAAAGAAGCACCGGCUAACUACGUG